RNAcentral lists this ribosomal RNA (253 nucleotides) under uncultured bacterium. RNAcentral describes it as "partial 16S ribosomal RNA". It matches the Rfam family "Bacterial small subunit ribosomal RNA", at positions 524 to 776 of the family's 1533-position model. The record is from RNAcentral.
UACGUAGGGAGCGAGCGUUAUCCGGAUUUAUUGGGUGUAAAGGGUGCGUAGAUGGAUAAUCAAGUUAGUUGUGAAAUACCUUGGCUUAACUGAGGAACUGCAACUAAAACUGAAUAUCUUGAGUGCUGGAGGGGAAAGCGGAAUUCCUAGUGUAGCGGUGAAAUGCGUAGAUAUUAGGAAGAACACCGGUGGCGAAGGCGGCUUUCUGGACAGUAACUGACAUUGAGGCACGAAAGUGUGGGGAGCAAACAGG